AUCCAGCUGACGAGUUCCACAUAGGAGAGAACUCAUGUCCUGGAU
Molecule: non-coding RNA, 45 nt
Filed under: Schistosoma mansoni
Lineage: Eukaryota; Metazoa; Platyhelminthes; Trematoda; Strigeidida; Schistosomatidae
Source: RNAcentral